Molecule: non-coding RNA, 806 nt
Organism: Salmo salar (Atlantic salmon)
Lineage: Eukaryota; Metazoa; Chordata; Actinopteri; Salmoniformes; Salmonidae
Source: RefSeq, a predicted model, not a curated record
CUCAUUCCAUGUGAUUGGUUGUGGCUCAGCAUGCUCUAGUGUGCCUGGUUUCCAACACACAAACUAAACUUUCCUGCCAGCCUGGGCAAUAUCAGGCUCCGGAGUGCUUUGACAACCCCCUGUAAUAUUGGAAUUUCUGACUUUGUUCCAAAAAGGAUGAUAAAGCGUACUGGGAUGCCACCCGUGCCUUCAUGAUCCUCUCCCUGCUGGCCUGCUUCAUUGGAAUUGUGAUCGGCGUCAUGGCUUUCAUACUCUCCUCCUUCAGUGGGUUUGACAAGACGUUUGCUGCCAGCAUCCUCUUCUUCAUCUAACCACUAGGCAGGUAGCCUAGUGGUUAGACCGUUGGAUUAGUGAGCGAAAGGUUGCAAGAUCGAAUCCCUGAACUGGCAAAGUAAAAAGCUGUUGUUCUGCCCGAGCAAGGCAGUGUUAGGCACUCUUCCUAGGCCGAAUUGGAAUUUGUUCUUAACUGACAUGAGAUUUGAAUAUGUAUGUUGGCAGCAGCCACUCAAUGUUAGUGAUGGCUGUUUAACAGACUGAUGGCCUUGAGAUAGAAGCUGUUUUUCAGUCCCUCGGUUCCAGCUUUGAUGCACCUGUACUGACCUCGCCUUCUGGAUGAUAGCGGGGUGAACAGGCAGUGGCUCGGGUGGUUGUUGUCCUUGAUCUUUUUGGCUUUCCUGUGACAUCGGGUGAUGUAGGUGUCCUGUAGGGUGCCGUUUGAGAUGGCUCUGUCCAACAUGAUUCAUUUGAAUAUUUAUUUUUCUUCACAUAAGUAAAUAAACCAGUGGACAGUAUGUCCAUGAACUGAA